RNAcentral lists this ribosomal RNA (254 nucleotides) under uncultured bacterium. RNAcentral describes it as "partial 16S ribosomal RNA". It matches the Rfam family "Bacterial small subunit ribosomal RNA", at positions 526 to 779 of the family's 1533-position model. The record is from RNAcentral.
CGUAGGGUGCGAGCGUUAAUCGGAAUUACUGGGCGUAAAGCGAGCGCAGACGGUUACUUAAGCAGGAUGUGAAAUCCCCGGGCUCAACCUGGGAACUGCGUUCUGAACUGGGUAGCUAGAGUAUGUCAGAGGGGGGUAGAAUUCCACGUGUAGCAGUGAAAUGCGUAGAGAUGUGGAGGAAUACCGAUGGCGAAGGCAGCCCCCUGGGAUAAUACUGACGUUCAUGCUCGAAAGCGUGGGUAGCAAACAGGAUU